This 73-nucleotide transfer RNA is filed under the name Nonomuraea rubra. RNAcentral describes it as "tRNA-Arg". Lineage: Bacteria; Bacillati; Actinomycetota; Actinomycetes; Streptosporangiales; Streptosporangiaceae. The record is from RNAcentral.
UUGGGCACGGCCGGGCACACAAAGCACCCGCAGACUUCUAAUCCGACGGUCGCAGGUUCGAAUCCUGCAGGGC